GAAGUGCUGAAAACGGUUCCUAGGUAAAACACACCAGGAUUUCCCACCAGGCUUGUAUAACAGUAGAGGUUUAAUCCUUCCCCAAAAGAUAUGUCUUUCUACAUCUUUCUUGAGACUCAGUUCCAACCAGUAAAAGAUGGGUCAUUCAGAAUUAAAAAAAAAAAAAAAAAAAGAGAGAGAGGGAAAACAGACAUGGCUCUUUGCAGUUUGCAGUCCUGAUAGAACAGCCUCCCCAGCCUCUGGGGGAUCAGAGAGACCCCAGCUGUGGCAUACAGUGUUAUGACUUCUCCCUGCCAUGUACAUAAGCUGUCCACAUAUCUACCUGGUCCAAAACAUGCGUGCCAUAUCUUAGGUAAGUGCCAAAAGGAAGCAUAUUCUUUCUCUUCAUUAUUAAUCGAUUCUCCUCCUUGAUUUCAUAUUUAUUUAAGCAUUUAAAGUAGUUCUGAACACAUGCCUACAACAUUUCUUCAUCAAAUCAGGAAUUUCAAGUCUGUAUCAUCUGUAUGCUUUGCACAUAAGAAAGAUUUUAUUUUUACUGAUACUUGGGCUUUAGUGCAAGUGUUUCUAAACAUGAGAUAGAACCCCUAGGAGAUCUCUGAGUUAUUUCUAAGGAAUGCCUAAGAAAAGUGUACUGCAAAUAGUUAUAUUUUCUUUUGUAAGCACCUAACGUUCAGCAGCAACAUUCCCAAUGGUUACAAAUCAGAAAGCUGUUGAGAGCUCCUGCUUCAGUGUAUCCUUUCUGGGAAUGUUAACUCAGACACGCCAGUCGAAAAGAUGACUCCCUGAGCUCUGAGAACACUGAAAGCUUCCUUUGCACAACUCAUGUGACUUCUUUGUGUUUGUCAUUUGGCUUGGAUCAGUGAAUCCCACACAGUGCAUCGUUUCUGAUAGGAAUGGCCAGAAAUGCUUAUAUAUCAAUCCACACCGUCCACUAUUCAGGGAAUAUUUUGGCCACACCUCUCUUCGGUGCAGACCUUUGGAUUUUUCCUUUGGUUAUUUGCAAUGUUGACUUUCAUUUUCUUGGCAAUGUGUAAACUCUGAAUAGGAGAAAGCUAUUUUUAGCUGUACAUCAACACAUUAAAAGCAAAGUAAUUCCCAGUAUCCAUAUAUGAGCUAAAGUAUAGGAAGAUUUUACAUAGCUAGUAAAGUCAAGUUGCUUUUACAGGCUUUAAUGGCUAGCAAACUGUUCAUUUAGCAUUGUAAAGUAAAAAAUACCCUCCUAUCCCUUUUAAAUAGUCUCUCCUUUCAUCACUUCUAUCACAGAAGAAUACUUUGUCUUUGUU
Molecule: long non-coding RNA, 1283 nt
Filed under: Cyanistes caeruleus (blue tit)
Lineage: Eukaryota; Metazoa; Chordata; Aves; Passeriformes; Paridae
Description: lncRNA (ENSCCEG00000015435.1)
Source: RNAcentral